UACGAAGGGGGCUAGCGUUGUUCGGAUUUACUGGGCGUAAAGCGCACGUAGGCGGAUCGUUAAGUCGGGGGUGAAAUCCUGGAGCUCAACUCCAGAACUGCCUUCGAUACUGGCGAUCUUGAGUCCGGAAGAGGUGAGUGGAACUCCUAGUGUAGAGGUGGAAUUCGUAGAUAUUAGGAAGAACACCAGUGGCGAAGGCGGCUCACUGGUCCGGUACUGACGCUAAAGCACGAAAGUGUGGGUAGCAAACAGG
Molecule: ribosomal RNA, 253 nt
Filed under: uncultured bacterium
Lineage: Bacteria
Description: partial 16S ribosomal RNA
Rfam family: Bacterial small subunit ribosomal RNA
Source: RNAcentral